CCCAUCCACUCCCAACAUCAAAAUAUGUCUUAAGGUUAGAAUUUUGGUGCUACUUCUGAUUUCUCUUUGACUGCUCCUUCCUGUGCCCAAGGUCUCUCAAAAUUCCUUCACUGAACUUUCCAUGGUACUCAGUUCCAUGCCAGAAUGGACUGCUAUACUAGGAAACCUUUCUUCUAUUCUCUAUUGGGAGAUCAAAUCUAUGCCAUGCCCUGUUUUCAUUUGAUCUCUUCUUCCACUCUCUGACAUUCAUACUUAAAACAGUAAGAAUAAAAACAAAGAAUUAAGAAAGAGUAUGGAAGCUAUCGAUGCAAAUUAGCACAGGCUUACAAAUUUGGGGGUCCUUGGGUCAUGAUUCAACAUAGAAGAAAAAUUUAGCCUGACAUAUAAGCAUUUUCUUAGGCAUCUGGACAACCUCUUCCCUCAUCAACAUGCCAACCCUGCCAAGUCUAAAGAAGGGGUCAGUUUUGUAAAAUCCUUAUUAUGCAGGACGAGAUUUCUAUUCAGUUUCCCUGCAAAGGCAGAGGUAAGUUUCCCAGAAGAGCUGGUUAAUUUCUUUGCUCACCUCCUUCACACUCAGUGAAUUCAAGGAAGUGAUAGAUUCUUGGGCCUCCGCCCACACGUACAGGUGUAAGGACAAUGGAUAGAAGGACCAGUUGCUUUAAGUUCUUAAGAAAACGAAGACACCACAGCAUCACUUCAUAGGUGAUUUUUGUGCCUUAUGCCAUAGAAAUCUGUAUGUCCUGGAUUUUCCAGGACAACUCCAAUUUCAGAUAUAUUUAUACUUGUCAAGUCAUAAUUUGUUACUAUUGGCUAACAAAAUACGAUCACCUUGGUUACAGGUGAGCCUGUGUUAUGUGAGGUUAUUGUCCUAACUAAUUUUUCUUGGAUGGCGUCAAACAUGACUGAGUUCUACCAAACUGUAUACUAAAUGAGUCAUAUUAUUGAGAUGAUACGGUGCAGUUACCAGGUGGUUCUGCUAAUAAUUAGAAACACAUUUCUAUAUUUCAUAGGAUCAAGGAAAGGAAAACAUCACCAGGAAAAUGUUACAUGUGGGGACAAUUAUUCAAUAGGCCCUUGGCUGGGAUUUGUGGAUAUGAACAUAAUUCAGAGAGCAAUUUUUCAUGGGUUCAAACUCUUGGACUUGUGAAAAUCUGGGAUUGAAAACAAUGUUUGCUUUGUUCUCAAAAGUCAUAGCCAUGACACACCAGAUGUUGUAGUCUCUGAUAAAAAAUUCUUG
This 1237-nucleotide long non-coding RNA is filed under the name Papio anubis (olive baboon). RNAcentral describes it as "lncRNA (ENSPANG00000050817.1)". The record is from RNAcentral. Lineage: Eukaryota; Metazoa; Chordata; Mammalia; Primates; Cercopithecidae.